UAGUAGCCCUGAUCGCAGCGACAUCCUUUUAUCUUGUCUCGUUUUUAGAACGAGACAAGAUAAAAGAUAUAGCGUAGAGCAGGAGGGAUG
This is a non-coding RNA of Flavobacterium frigoris, 90 nucleotides long. NCBI's taxonomy places the organism in Bacteria, Pseudomonadati, Bacteroidota, Flavobacteriia, Flavobacteriales, Flavobacteriaceae. The record is from Rfam.